UAAUUAAAUUUCUAGACAAUAGAGUGUAGAUAAAUUUAAAAAAAAAAAAAUAUAUAAUCUUAAUACCCUAACCUCGACGUGUCACCGCGAAACAAAACCACAUUGCCGUGAUAAGAGCGAUAUACUGUAAUUGGUGCAAUGUGCAUAACGAAUAUCUUAUCGGGUUAAAAAAAAAAAAAGAGUACCAAAAAUGAUUGAAAAUACGUUUAGAACGUGCAUACGACGUGUACACGUGUAAACGUGUAAACGUGUACACGACAACAGAAUAUGGUAACACGUAAUUUCAAGAUAAAAUCACUUCGAUCCAUUCUCGCUGACACAUUAUGACGUAAGAAUGAAUAAUAACUUUUCGAAUAUUUUGAAAGUAAAAAAAAAAAGAUGCGAAAAAGCGUAUUAAGCGCAAGCGAUCCAAAACAGUAAUAAAUAAAAAGGAAGCCAACGUGUGUAGCAUCGUAAUAGACCAAUAUUGCAGCGGAAAAAAAAAUCGAAUAUCUAUACAACUUAUACUUUUAAAAUUAAUAGAAUAUUAUAUUUUGUUUAAGGUGCAUCUUAAUAUAAUAGGUACAGUGAUAUAUGUAAUUAUUUGUUAUGUAUUGAUUAUUAUAAACGAGAAAAAC
This is a non-coding RNA of Cinara cedri, 617 nucleotides long. The record is from the annotation of a GenBank genome assembly. NCBI's taxonomy places the organism in Eukaryota, Metazoa, Arthropoda, Insecta, Hemiptera, Aphididae.